GUGGAUUAGAUACCCUGGUAGUCCUUGCUGUAAACGAUGGAUACUAGGUGUAGGAGGUAUCGACCCCUUCUGUGCCGCAGUUAACACAAUAAGUAUCCCACCUGGGGAGUACGGCCGCAAGGUUGAAACUCAAAGGAAUUGACGGGGGCCCGCACAAGCAGUGGAGUAUGUGGUUUAAUUCGAAGCAACGCGAAGAACCUUACCAGGGCUUGACAUCCCUUGACGACGUAAGAGAUUACGUUUCCCUUCGGGGCAAGGAGACAGGUGGUGCACGGCUGUCGUCAGCU
Molecule: ribosomal RNA, 287 nt
Filed under: uncultured bacterium
Lineage: Bacteria
Description: partial 16S ribosomal RNA
Rfam family: Bacterial small subunit ribosomal RNA
Source: RNAcentral